This 385-nucleotide ribosomal RNA is filed under the name uncultured bacterium. Its description in RNAcentral is "bacterial SSU rRNA". It matches the Rfam family "Bacterial small subunit ribosomal RNA", at positions 28 to 417 of the family's 1533-position model. The record is from RNAcentral.
GACGAACGCUGGCGGCGUGCUUAACACAUGCAAGUCGAGCGGUAAGGCCCUUCGGGGUACACGAGCGGCGAACGGGUGAGUAACACGUGGGUGACCUGCCCUUAGCUCUGGGAUAAGCCUGGGAAACUGGGUCUAAUACCGGAUAUGACCUCAUGACGCAUGUUGUGGGGUGGAAAGCCUUGUGCGGCUAGGGAUGGGCCCGCGGCCUAUCAGCUUGUUGGUGGGGUGAUGGCCACCAAGGCGACGACGGUAGCCGGCCUGAGAGGGCGACCGGCCACACUGGGACUGAGACACGGCCCAGACUCCUACGGGAGGCAGCAGGUGGGGAAUCUUGCGCAAUGGGCGAAAGCCUGACGCAGCGACGCCGCGUGAGGGAUGACGGCCU